RNAcentral lists this ribosomal RNA (301 nucleotides) under uncultured bacterium. RNAcentral's name for it is "partial 16S ribosomal RNA". It matches the Rfam family "Bacterial small subunit ribosomal RNA", at positions 509 to 807 of the family's 1533-position model. The record is from RNAcentral.
CAGUAGCCGCGGUAAUACAGAGGGUGCGAGCGUUAAUCGGAUUUACUGGGCGUAAAGCGUGCGUAGGCGGCUUCUUAAGUCGGAUGUGAAAUCCCUGAGCUUAACUUAGGAAUUGCAUUCGAUACUGGGAAGCUAGAGUAUGGGAGAGGAUGGUAGAAUUCCAGAUGUAGCGGUGAAAUGCGUAGAGAUCUGGAGGAAUACCGAUGGCGAAGGCAGCCAUCUGGCCUAAUACUGACGCUGAGGUACGAAAGCAUGGGGAGCAAACAGGAUUAGAUACCCGUGUAGUCCCUGUCUCUUAUAC